UCUUUUUUUCAAGUUUUUCUCUCUCUUCUCUCAAUUUCUCUCUCUCGGCUCUCCUUCUUCUCUCUGCUAGGGUUCUUGAUUUUUCAAGAACAAGAUGAUCUUCAUCUCUUCCGGUUAGACGCCACCUUGAUACCCGGGUUCCGGCGCGGUGACUGCCGGACCGUCACGGCGCCGCCGCCGGAAACUUUUUUUUUUAUAAAGAAAAAAAAAAUUCCAAAUCUCUUCCUAAGUUCUUAUCUACUAAUUUUAGACCCGAAUUAGGCUCUCAAAACCGCAAAACCCAACUAAACAGAUUCAAACAAAAAAAGCUUUAGAUCUAUUCUUUUUUAAUCUUUUUACUAUGAAUCCAGUUCAAAAAUCAAACAAAUACAUCAUAUAUACCUCAUAAACACAACAAUCAGAGGUUAGAAAAUUAAAGAAAAUAGUUACCUGAACUGCAGUGAGUUCCACGAAUCAGAAAACUUUCUCUUGCUACUGGAUUUUUGUGGUUUGGGUAAAGUUGAUGUUUAGAUAUUUUUUUCGGUUCUGGUUUCUCGGAGAUUCUUCUGUGUUUGGUGCAAGGUCUGUGUUGCUGAAUAUGGAGGCAGUGGUUACAGGAUUAGGGUUUUUUGUUUCUGGUUGUUGUAUAGCUUUUAGUUCUGCGGGUAAUUUUCUCACGAGUGUGUGAAGAAGCAGAUCAUUUUUUGCAGUUUGGUUAGGACUGGUUUUGAAUCGGUUUGCUGCUAGACAACUAUCAAGUUAUUAUAUUGUAAUGUCAUAUUUAUAGAUUGAAUUUUAAAUGUUUAUGUGGUAUUGGUUAAUUGAAUACAUGUGAACAUCGUUGAACAUUCUAAAAAUAGUUUGAAUCUGGUCAUGUAGCCACAUAUCAUAUUUGAGUGGUGAUCAAUUAAAUAAUCAAACAACACAAAUCCAAAUUUUGCUCAAUACCUUAUGUAUUUCUUGUUUCUAAUUCAAACUUCAAGAAGUGUUUCAAAUCGAAAGAUCUUAGAUAGAUAAACAUUGUGACCACAAGAUGUAAGUUUUAUUUGAAUUUCUGCUGAAAAUAUUGUUGCUUAGUUGUUGUAUAUCUUUUGAAUUGGUUCCUCAUAAUUCUUGAGUGUGAAGUUGUAAUCUUCUUUAUGUACUGGUCUGUGUCUACUAUAGGCAGGUUAAAUGAUUGAUAUAGUUAGAUAGUUCAUGUGGAUAUUGAUGCUGAAUGUCUUGAGAUAGGGAGUGGAAUUGAUGAUAAUAUAAUGCUAUGGAUUACAUUUGUAGGAGGGUAUUGAUAGUGGUGAUUCAAAGAAAGAGGAGUUGACUGCUAGCUGCGGAUUAUGUUAAUACACCUACAAGAAAGGCCUUCAGGAAGAGUUCGGCUGAUUCAAUUGUUGUGAAUGAUGGUGACGGUUGUGCUUUGUCAAUUACUAAUAAUCGUGAAUGUGUGAAGAUUGAAAAAUAUGAUUUAAGUGUUCAAGAAUAGGUGUGCAAGUCCAUGAGUUUAAUGACGCCAACAAGCUUACAAGGCCCUCACAAGUUGUCGCGAGGAAUUACAAUACAAGUUGUAUUGGUAUUAUGAUGGUUAGUUUUUAGUUUGAUGCAUAUAUAUAUUCACAUGCCUCUUGUGACCUUAAAUCGGGUUCUAUAUAUAAACAUAUCUUGCAUAGGAUGCAACUAUUGGUAUAUCUAUAGGAUCAAUAUUUGGACUUGUUAAAUUUGGUUCUAUAUCAGCAUGUCUUGUAAAAGGUGCAACAUUGGUAUAUCUAUAUUAGGAACAUUUGGACUUUCUAU
Trifolium pratense (red clover) is the source of this 1764-nucleotide long non-coding RNA. RefSeq lists it as uncharacterized. The record is from RefSeq and is a predicted model, not a curated record. Lineage: Eukaryota; Viridiplantae; Streptophyta; Magnoliopsida; Fabales; Fabaceae. The transcript has 3 exons.